Molecule: ribosomal RNA, 419 nt
Filed under: uncultured bacterium
Lineage: Bacteria
Description: bacterial SSU rRNA
Rfam family: Bacterial small subunit ribosomal RNA
Source: RNAcentral
UGAGGAAUAUUGCACAAUGGGCGCAAGCCUGAUGCAGCGACGCCGCGUGUGGGAUGAAGGGGCUACGCCUCGUAAACCACUGUAGCCCGGGACGAAAAACGCCUUAGAGGCGUUAGACGGUACCGGGAAAGUAAGGGUCGGCUAACUACGUGCCAGCAGCCGCGGUAAAACGUAGGAGGCGAGCGUUAUCCGGAUUUACUGGGCGUAAAGCGCGUGCAGGCGGAUUGGAGAGUUGGAUGUGAAAGCUCCCGGCUUAACUGGGAGAGGUCGUUCAAUACUUCCAUCCUUGAGUGCAGUAGAGGGAAGUGGAAUUCCGGGUGUAGUGGUGAAAUGCGUAGAUAUCCGGAGGAACACCAGUGGCGAAAGCGGCUUCCUGGACUGUAACUGACGCUCAGACGCGAAAGCUAGGGUAGCAAACG